RNAcentral lists this ribosomal RNA (86 nucleotides) under Klebsiella aerogenes. RNAcentral also lists the same sequence under 76 other names. The record is from RNAcentral. Lineage: Bacteria; Pseudomonadati; Pseudomonadota; Gammaproteobacteria; Enterobacterales; Enterobacteriaceae.
GACCCCAUGCCGAACUCAGAAGUGAAACGCCGUAGCGCCGAUGGUAGUGUGGGGUCUCCCCAUGUGAGAGUAGGGAACUGCCAGGC